This 2199-nucleotide ribosomal RNA is filed under the name Triticum aestivum (bread wheat). RNAcentral's name for it is "partial small subunit ribosomal RNA". Lineage: Eukaryota; Viridiplantae; Streptophyta; Magnoliopsida; Poales; Poaceae. The record is from RNAcentral.
AUGACCACACAAAGCUCGCAAUUCCAUUCCGAGCAGCUGCUAUUACCAGUAGUCCUACUCCUUCUUGUAUCUGCGGCAGCUAAUCACAUGCUCAUGGCUGCCGCUGCUGAACAGCAACAUCCGAUGAUCACACAUCCGGGUUGCCGGGAUAAGUGCGGCAACAUCAGCAUCCCCUUCCCAUUCGGCAUCGGGCCUGGCUGCUCCCGCGAGGGCUUCGAGGUAUCGUGCGACGACUCCUCAACCCCCCCUCGGGCCUUCCUCGCAAACGACUUAGCAAAUCAGUAUGUAUGUGAGGGCUCCGCCUCUGAGCUCAUUGGCGACCCACAAAUUAUGAAAAUCCAGGUUUCAUCCUCACUGCCGCUUGAGCUCGUGAGCAUAUCAGUUGCCACGAGCGAGGGUCGUGUAUACGGCGGGAUCUCGUACCUGCGCAACUCAGAUGAUACUAGUGGGCUGUUUAAGGUUCACUCCAUGAAUCUCCAGGCCACCCCAUUUAGCGUGUCGGGACCCCGUAAUGUUCUCAUAGCUGUCGGUGGGAGGGCCGAACCAUUUCUGAUGAUCAAUGAUCGGGAGCGUUCCGCCAAUGGCGUUAACCAUUUCUUCUGCCGUUCAGACAUCCUGCAGGAGGAUUUCGUUGGGCAUGUGACAAACGGGUCAUGCACCGGGCGGGGCUGCUGUGAGACCCCCUUUCCCCCGGAGGACAGAUCCGUCACAGAUCCCCAAAUGAGCUUCGUUGUCGACAACAACACUAUGCCGGUUAUCGACGUCCCAUGCUCGUAUGGCAUGGUGGUGGAGAAGUCAUGGUACAACUUCUCGGCGCCAGACAUGUUUGGUGAAAGGGUGUUUGCUGAAAGACUCCCCGGGGGCGUCCCCUUGGUGCUCGAUUUCGCCAUCGAGGAUGCUUCAUGUCCCGCGGAAGGCCAGGAACCGCCUUCCGACUAUGCAUGUGUCAGCAGCAACAGCUCUUGUGCCAAUACAGCCACUGGCUAUGUGUGCAAGUGUUGGAACAAUUAUGAGGGCAACCCUUACAUCAGCAACGGAUGCCAAGACAUCGACGAAUGCAAGCUCCCCGAGCGGUAUCCCUGCUCGAGUGAUGGGAUCUGCAAGAACAGGCCAGGAGGCUACGAGUGUCCAUGCAAAUUUGGAAUGAAAGGCGACCGCAAAGAAGGAACCUGCACAAGCUUAUUCCCCCUAGCAGCAAAGGGGACUCUGGGUGCAAUAGGUGUUAUUCUUAUCAUGGCAGUCCUAUUAUUCCUUAUUAUUCUUCGCAAAGAGAAAAGGAAGAAUGGAGAGUUUUACAAAAAGAACGGUGGGCCUACAUUAGAGAAGGCAAAUAUCAUAAAGCUUUUCAAAAAGGAGGAGCUCAAACCUAUUUUAAAGAGUAAAAAUCUAAUAGGAAAAGGUGGCUUCGGUGAAGUUUAUAAGGGCCUUCUCGACAAUAAACUGGUUGCAAUAAAGAAGCCAAUUAAUGGUAGUGUGCUAGAGAAUGAACAGUUUGCAAAUGAAGUCAUCAUCCAAUCCCAAGUCAUCCACAAGAACAUUGUUAGGCUGGUCGGUUGUUGCCUAGAAGUUGAUACCCCCAUGCUGGUCAAUGAGUUUAUCUCCAAUGGUAGCCUUCAUGACAUUCUUCACAACAAUAAGGAAAAGGUUGCUCUCAGCUUGGAUACACGGCUAAGUAUUGCUGCACAGUCAGCAGAUGGCCUAGCUUAUAUGCAUUCCAAGACCAAUAUUAAAAUUCUACAUGGUGAUGUUAAACCAGCAAAUAUACUCUUGGAUGAUAACUUUGUACCAAAGGUUUCAGAUUUUGGCAUAUCUAGGUUGCUUGCGAGAGACAAGGAACACACAGGAUCAGUCAUUGGCGACAUGAAUUAUAUGGACCCAAUAUAUCUUCAAGAAGGCCUACUCACACAAAAAAAUGAUGUCUACAGUUUUGGUGUUAUGAUCUUAGAGCUCAUAAGCAGGAGGAGAGCCAUGCAUUCUGACAAUAGUAGCUUGGUAAAGAAUUUUCUUGAGGCUCUUAAGAAGCAAAAGAAAUCAAGCGAGUUUUUUGACAAGGAAAUUGCAAUAACAGAAGAUUUGGAGCUUCUUGAUUGCCUCGCAGGCAUGGCCAUGGAAUGUCUUAGCCUUGAUGUGGAUCAAAGACCAACUAUGAUGGAGGUGGCCGAGCGGCUCCUCAUACUGAUUCGAUAUCGUGAGGUGUAA